RNAcentral lists this long non-coding RNA (1296 nucleotides) under Panax ginseng (ginseng). RNAcentral's name for it is "long non-coding RNA (PGIN_LNC004577)". Lineage: Eukaryota; Viridiplantae; Streptophyta; Magnoliopsida; Apiales; Araliaceae. The record is from RNAcentral.
GUAAAAACUUAAUUUGCUCCCUUUGUGUUCAUCCAACAGUUCCUCUAUUAUGGGAAUGGGAAAUUUGUUCUUCACAGUGAUGUUGUUUAAGGCCAUGUAAUCUACGCAAAAUCUCUAUAUGUUGUCCUUUUUCUUCAAUAACAAUACAGGAUAAGCAUAUGGUGAAGUAAUAUGUUUAAUAAUCCCACUAUAUAGCAUUUCUCUAACCAUUUUCUGUCUUCUGCAUGUAAGGAUACCUGUAUGGAUUUGAAUUUACUGGACUGCAACCUGCCAUGAUGAGAAUAUGAUGAUCUUGGGUCCUUUUUGGCGGCAGCCCUUGAGGCUCCCUGAAAAUGUCUUCAUAUUCUUCUACUAAAAUCUUAAUUUCUGGAGGUAAUGCUUGCUCCUUAGUUGUCGUUUCUUCUAUUGCAUGCAACUGAACUAGAAAAUAAGCUUCCUCUGUGGGUUUCCAAUGAAACUUGUCAACCACUUGCAUAGUAUACGAGUGUGCAGCCAAUUCAUGAUCUCCUAAUGUUAUUCUCAUCCCUUUCCAAUGAAUGAUAAGUUGAAAACCUUUCUUUCCUCAAAAUCAAAGAUUAUAGGCCUCAGUCUUCAUCCACUGGACCCCUAGGAAAACAUCAUACCCUCCCAAAGGAAUUAUAAACAUCGGAGCCUUAAAUUUUUUGUGAAUCAUUUCCCAUGUAAAUCCUGAGAUUAUCCUAUCACAAUCGAUGGUUUCCCCAUUUGCAAUAGUCACCUUGAUUGGAGUACAUGGCUCAGUUGUCAACUGGUACUUUUUAACCAAGGAUUCUAAUAUGAAAUUAUGAGUGGAGCCACUACCAAGUAGUAUACUGAUUCGUCUGUUCUUGAUAUACCUUUUUUACUUGAGUGUAUGCAACCCAUGUGUUCCAGUAAUAUCAUGAAUGGACACUCCACAGUUAUCUUCUAUUUGUAGUAUCUCUUCUCCUUUUUCUUGUAUUAUCAUUGUUAAUUCUUGUUGGUUCUCUCCUAGUUGUUGUAUUUGAUUCUCUUCCUCAUAUGUGAUCAUAAUGUAGAUAUGUUUAUUCUUGCAUUUGUGCCCUUGUGCAUACACUUCAUCACAGUAAUAACACAAGCCUUUCUCCCUUCUAGCUAGUUGUCAUUUCAGUUGUACUUAAUCUUUUAAUUGGAAAAGUUCUUUAACUGGUUCCUCUUUUGGCAACAAUUUUGUAUGGCUCCUUGUAGGACUCCUUGCUGACCACAGAGUUGGUUUUAAUGUGAUUUCCUGCAACUGGUUUAGUGGUUGACUGACUCCUUUUUUCUGAGGACUUCAAAUAC